GUUUGCUACCAUACUACCCCACAAGUAUCUGAUCUUGUCUGAUCACUGAAGCUAAGUAAGGUCAGGCUUAAUCAGUGCUAGGGUGGGAGACCAACUGGAGUUGGCUAAAAAAGGCUCACA
This 120-nucleotide ribosomal RNA is filed under the name Otolemur garnettii (small-eared galago). Lineage: Eukaryota; Metazoa; Chordata; Mammalia; Primates; Galagidae. The record is from RNAcentral.